RNAcentral lists this unclassified non-coding RNA (333 nucleotides) under Hevea brasiliensis (rubber tree). The record is from RNAcentral. Lineage: Eukaryota; Viridiplantae; Streptophyta; Magnoliopsida; Malpighiales; Euphorbiaceae.
AAUCAAGAAUUAAUACAAUCAGAGGGACAAACUUAAAUUCACAUCAGGUUGAGACUUGAAGACUCUACCUGGUACAAUUGGAUUAACAGGGCUCAGACGUGUGAAUCCUCUUUGGCAUUAGCUCAUUCUGAUGACCUCAUUCUACAAGAACUGGCGAAAAUGUAGAUAGGAAGGAAGAUUGCCUUGAUUAAGACAGAGUCUGUAAGAGCAACAUGAUAACGACUGAGGCAGCAAACUGCAUAUAAAACACCAAAUCUUCACUAUAAAGGCCACUUUGACCAGAUGCAGCUGCUGGAAGUGCUGGAAUUUUCACAGUUUUAUUGCAUGAUGACG